GGCUCAGGAUGAACGCUAGCGACAGGCCUAACACAUGCAAGUCGAGGGGCAGCACAAGGAGCAAUCUGAGGUGGCGACCGGCGCACGGGUGAGUAACACGUAUGCAACCUGCCUGUAAGCGGGGAAUAACCCGUUGAAAGACGGACUAAUACCGCAUAAUACUAAAUUACUGCAUGGUAAUUUAUUUAAACAUUUAUGGCUUACAGAUGGGCAUGCGCAUGAUUAGCUAGUUGGAGAGGUAACGGCUCCCCAAGGCAACGAUCAUUAGGGGUUCUGAGAGGAAGGUCCCCCACACUGGUACUGAGACACGGACCAGACUCCUACGGGAGGCAGCAGUGAGGAAUAUUGGUCAAUGGACGAGAGUCUGAACCAGCCAAGUCGCGUGCAGGAAGAAUGUCCUAUGGAUUGUAAACUGCUUUUGCAGGGGAAUAAAGUGCAUCACGUGUGAUGUUUUGUAUGUACUCUGCGAAUAAGGAUCGGCUAACUCCGUGCCAGCCGCCGC
This 502-nucleotide ribosomal RNA is filed under the name uncultured bacterium. RNAcentral describes it as "bacterial SSU rRNA". It matches the Rfam family "Bacterial small subunit ribosomal RNA", at positions 21 to 518 of the family's 1533-position model. The record is from RNAcentral.